This 233-nucleotide ribosomal RNA is filed under the name uncultured bacterium. RNAcentral's name for it is "partial 16S ribosomal RNA". It matches the Rfam family "Bacterial small subunit ribosomal RNA", at positions 118 to 351 of the family's 1533-position model. The record is from RNAcentral.
UGAGUAACCUGCCCCUGACUCUGGGAUAAGCCUGGGAAACUGGGUCUAAUACCGGAUAUGCACCGUGGACCGCAUGGUUCUUGGUGGAAAGAUUUUUUGGUCAGGGAUGGACUCGCGGCCUAUCAGCUUGUUGGUGAGGUAAUGGCUCACCAAGGCAACGACGGGUAGCCGGCCUGAGAGGGUGACCGGCCACACUGGGACUGAGACACGGCCCAGACUCCUACGGGAGGCAG